GGCAAGGUGGCCGAGCGGUCCAAGGCGCCACGUUAAGGUGUUUAACCCUUAAUCAGUAUCCGUGGUCUCGAAAGGGGCGUGAGUUCGAAUCUCACCCUUGUCA
This 103-nucleotide transfer RNA is filed under the name Madurella mycetomatis. It matches the Rfam family "tRNA". From Rfam's summary of the family: Transfer RNA (tRNA) molecules are approximately 80 nucleotides in length. Their secondary structure includes four short double-helical elements and three loops (D, anti-codon, and T loops). The record is from Rfam by way of RNAcentral. Lineage: Eukaryota; Fungi; Ascomycota; Sordariomycetes; Sordariales.